Molecule: small RNA, 549 nt
Filed under: Pongo abelii (Sumatran orangutan)
Lineage: Eukaryota; Metazoa; Chordata; Mammalia; Primates; Hominidae
Description: processed transcript
Source: RNAcentral
GAAGUAUCUCCGUCAAGAAGAAGAAAAAUGUCCCCCUUGAGGUCAUUAGAACAUGAGGAAACCAAUAUGCCUACUAUGCACGACCUUGUUCAUAUUAUUUAUGACCAGUCUCAAUAUAUUCAUCAUUUAGAGGCAGAAGUUAAGUUCUGCAAGGAGGAACUCUCUGGAAUGAAAAAUAAAAUACAAGUAGUUGUGCUUGAAAACGAAAGGCUCCAGCAAGAGCUGAAAUCUCAAAGACAAGAGGAGACACUGAGGGAACAAACAGUUCUGGAAGCAUCUGGAAACAUGCAGAAUUCUUGGAUUACAACAGGUGAAGAUUCUGGGGUGGGCGAAACCUCCAAAAGACCAUUUUCCCAUGACAAUGCAGAUAUUGGCAAAGCUGCAUCUGCUGGUGAGCAGCUAGAACUGGAGAAGCUAAAACUUACUUAUGAGGAAAAGUGUGAAAUUCAGGAAUCCCAACUGAAGUUUUUGAGAAAUAAGAAUCACGGCCGGGCGCGGUGGCUCACGCCUGUAAUCCCAGCACUUUGGGAGGCUGAAGCGGGCGAAUCA